Molecule: ribosomal RNA, 253 nt
Filed under: uncultured bacterium
Lineage: Bacteria
Description: partial 16S ribosomal RNA
Rfam family: Bacterial small subunit ribosomal RNA
Source: RNAcentral
UACGUAGGGUGCAAGCGUUGUCCGGAAUUAUUGGGCGUAAAGAGCUCGUAGGCGGCCUGUCACGUCGACUGUGAAAACCCGAGGCUCAACCUCGGGCCUGCAGUCGAUACGGGCAGGCUAGAGUUCGGUAGGGGAGACUGGAAUUCCUGGUGUAGCGGUGAAAUGCGCAGAUAUCAGGAGGAACACCGGUGGCGAAGGCGGGUCUCUGGGCCGGUACCGACGCUGAGGAGCGAAAGCGUGGGGAGCGAGCAGG